RNAcentral lists this ribosomal RNA (253 nucleotides) under uncultured prokaryote. RNAcentral describes it as "partial 16S ribosomal RNA". It matches the Rfam family "Bacterial small subunit ribosomal RNA", at positions 524 to 776 of the family's 1533-position model. The record is from RNAcentral.
UACAGAGGUCCCAAGCGUUGUUCGGAUUCAUUGGGCGUAAAGGGUGCGUAGGCGGUCUCCUAAGUCAGGUGUGAAAUCUCGGGGCUCAACCCCGAAACUGCACUUGAUACUGGGUGACUUGAGUACUGGAGGGGAGACUGGAAUUUACGGUGUAGCAGUGAAAUGCGUAGAUAUCGUAAGGAAGACCAGUGGCGAAGGCGACUACCUGGACUGAUACUGACACUGAGGUGCGAAAGCGUGGUGAGCAAACAGG